GAGUUUGAUCGUGGCUCAGAUUGAACGCUGGCGGCGUGCCUAACACAUGCAAGUCGAGCGGUAACAGGUGUAGCAGUACAUGCUGACGAGCGGCGGACGGGUGAGUAAUGCUUGGGAAUCUUCCCAGUAGUGGGGAAUAACCAACCGAAAGGUUGGCUAAUACCGCAUAAGUUCUUCGGAAGAAAGCGGGGGAUCGUAAGACCUCGCGCUAUUGGAUGAGCCCAAGUCGGAUUAGCUAGUUGGCGGGGUAACGGCCCACCAAGGCGACGAUCCGUAGCUGGUCUGAGAGGACGACCAGCCACACCGGAACUGAGACACGGUCCGGACUCCUACGGGAGGCAGCAGUGGGGAAUAUUGGACAAUGGGGGAAACCCUGAUCCAGCGACGCCGCGUGUGUGAAGAAGGCCUGCGGGUUGUAAAGCACUUUUAGUGGGGAUGAAAAGUUUCGGGAUAACACCCCGGGAUCUUGACCUAACCCAAAGAAAAAGCACCGGCUAACUCUGUGCCAGCAGCCGCAGUAAC
Molecule: ribosomal RNA, 522 nt
Filed under: uncultured Gammaproteobacteria bacterium
Lineage: Bacteria; Pseudomonadati; Pseudomonadota; Gammaproteobacteria
Also listed under: 1 other name
Description: bacterial SSU rRNA
Rfam family: Bacterial small subunit ribosomal RNA
Source: RNAcentral